UGUCUCAUGAAACACAUAUGAGAUAAUUCCUGCCCAGUGACAAAUGUUCAACGGCCGCGGUAUCCUAACCGUGCAAAGGUAGCAUAAUCACUUGCCUAUUAAUUGUAGACUAGAAUGAACGGGCCAACGAAAUAAAAACUGUCUCAGUUAGACACCUAAAAAUUAUUUUUUAUCUGAAGAUAGAUAAAUCAACUCGAAGGACAAGAAGACCCUAUAGAGCUUUAUUUUAUAUAUGGAACUUACCACAUGAAAAUUCGGUUGGGGCGACCCCGGGAUCAUAUAUCACCCUUCAUAUAAAGAUAUAUUAAUCAAAUAAGUGACCCUCUAAAGAUCAUAAAACCAAGCUACCUUAGGGAUAACAGGCUAAUCCCACUCAAGAGUCCUUAUCAACAGUGGGGGUUGGCACCUCGAUGUUGGCUUAGGGUAUCUAUAUAACGCAAAAGUUAUAUAAAGAUGGUUUGUUCAACCAGUAAUACCCU
RNAcentral lists this ribosomal RNA (479 nucleotides) under Polypheretima sp. Samar. RNAcentral's name for it is "partial 16S rRNA". It matches the Rfam family "Bacterial large subunit ribosomal RNA", at positions 1829 to 2597 of the family's 2925-position model. Lineage: Eukaryota; Metazoa; Annelida; Clitellata; Crassiclitellata; Megascolecidae. The record is from RNAcentral.